Molecule: ribosomal RNA, 447 nt
Filed under: uncultured bacterium
Lineage: Bacteria
Description: partial 16S ribosomal RNA
Rfam family: Bacterial small subunit ribosomal RNA
Source: RNAcentral
AACGAACGCUGGCGGCAGGCCUAACACAUGCAAGUCGAGCGCCCAGCAAUGGGAGCGGCAGACGGGUGAGUAACACGUGGGAACCUUCCCUAUAGUACGGAAUAUACCAGGGAAACUUGGAGCAAUACCGUAUACGCCCGAGAGGGGAAAGAUUUAUCGCUAUAGGAUGGGCCCGCGUUGGAUUAGCUAGUUGGUGAGGUAACGGCUCACCAAGGCAACGAUCCAUAGCUGGUUUGAGAGAAUGACCAGCCACACUGGGACUGAGACACGGCCCAGACUCCUACGGGAGGCAGCAGUGGGGAAUCUUGGACAAUGGGCGCAAGCCUGAUCCAGCCAUGCCGCGUGAGUGAUGAAGGCCUUAGGGUUGUAAAGCUCUUUUGCCGGGGACGAUAAUGACGGUACCCGGAGAAUAAGUCCCGGCUAACUUCGUGCCAGCCGCCGCAGUAA